CUCAGGAGUUAGCCGAUAAGAAAGCUUACAUGAUUUUCAAAGCUGAAAAUAUUUUUAAAGCAGUAAAUGCAUAAGUAAAGCACUUAAGUAACUUCUUCUGUCCCCUCGGGAAGCCGCUUGCAUGGGAGAAGAAGUUAAAAAGACGGGACCAGGAGAAAGAGAAGCUGUUGGCAAAGGUUCGUGCCUCUGGCAGAGAGGUCCCAGGCUGAAGAAGAAAGCUGAGGGGGCAUUUGCCUGCUGCAGAAGCUCUUUGUGCUGCCUCAGCUGCUACAGUGCCAGUGCACGACCUGCAGCCUUCCUGGUGUUCAGACUCCACCCUGCAUGCUUCCCGCAGGGCUCACUCCCCUUCCCGCGAUAAGCACUGCGAGACGAUGGCUGGUGAGGCAGGGGACAGGGACUCUUGCUGCCCUGUGCCAGGGCAUGUUGAUGCAUCCCCUUAUUUCCCUUCAGGGUCAGGAUUAGUAUUCAUGACUUCAGGAGGGGUGUGAAGCCCCAGCUAUGCUCAUGGCCUCCAGCCAUGCUACAUGAGCCUGGAUAUCGAGCAGCCCUGCCCAAAAGGCUGAUGCAGCCUAGGGAUGUGCUCCACAUGUGCUCCUACAGUAUGCCUGUAGGGACACAGGGAUGCUCUUAGGGAGGGGAGACACUGGAGAGACCACCUCCUCCUCACCCUGUGUGAGCAAUGCAUCCACAGCCCCUCCUCUACCUGCCCAACUCCACCUCUGGCUUGGGUUCUUUUCCUCAGGAGCAGCCCCUACUGCAGACACAAGCUUGCUGAGCUCUAUUCUUGGGGGACAGACUCAAGGAGACCAUGAGUAUCUGAGAGGCAAUGUGUGUCCUACCACCGGAGCAGGGCAAGGAGACUCAGCUGGAUGAGAAAUGGAUGCUUCCAAGACCAGGCAAGAGCUGGACCUGCUGACAAAAGCUCUAAUUCCCCUUCAGUUAUCUAGAAACCACCUCAGAGCAUCUGAGUAAGCAUCUGCCAGCAUCCAGAGCAAAGAAGCACUUCAUAGCUCACAGAUUACACAGAACACAGGAACAUAAGGGGAACAUAGUCUUUGUUUCUGCUGGGAAAAAAAAAUCAAGCCAGCAAAGACUUUCUUCAGUGUUGAUGGUCAUUUUCU
Vidua macroura (Pin-tailed whydah) is the source of this 1121-nucleotide long non-coding RNA. RefSeq lists it as uncharacterized. The transcript has 3 exons. The record is from RefSeq and is a predicted model, not a curated record. NCBI's taxonomy places the organism in Eukaryota, Metazoa, Chordata, Aves, Passeriformes, Viduidae.